This is a non-coding RNA of Cymbomonas tetramitiformis, 74 nucleotides long. NCBI's taxonomy places the organism in Eukaryota, Viridiplantae, Chlorophyta, Pyramimonadophyceae, Pyramimonadales, Pyramimonadaceae. The record is from the annotation of a GenBank genome assembly.
GGUCUUAUAGCUCAGUUGGUUAGAGCGUGGUGCUAAUAACGCCAAGGUCCGCGGUUCGAGCCCGUGUGGGACUA